AACGAACGCUGGCGGCAGGCUUAACACAUGCAAGUCGAACGGAUCCUUCGGGGUUAGUGGCGCACGGGUGAGUAACGCGUGGGAAUGUACCCCUUGGUAAGGAAUAAUAUCUGGAAAUGGAUACUAAUACCUUAUAAUGACUUUGGUCCAAAGAUUUAUCGCCAAGGGAUCAGCCCGCGUCUGAUUAGGUAGUUGGUGAGGUAACGGCUCACCAAGCCGACGAUCAGUAGCUGGUCUGAGAGGAUGAUCAGCCACACUGGGACUGAGACACGGCCCAGACUCCUACGGGAGGCAGCAGUGAGGAAUAUUGGACAAUGGGGGAAACCCUGAUCCAGCCAUGCCGCGUGAGUGAAGAAGGCCUUAGGGUUGUAAAGCUCUUUCAAUGGUGAAGAUAAUGACGGUAGCCAUAGAAGAAGCCCCGGCUAAAUUCGUGCCAGCCGCCGCUGUAA
This 449-nucleotide ribosomal RNA is filed under the name uncultured bacterium. RNAcentral's name for it is "partial 16S ribosomal RNA". It matches the Rfam family "Bacterial small subunit ribosomal RNA", at positions 29 to 523 of the family's 1533-position model. The record is from RNAcentral.